UAUUAUUAGCUAUGUAAAUAAAUAAAUAUCUGAGUAGUAAUAGUUAUGUUCUUGAAACUCAAAGAAUUUGGCGGUGUUUUAGUCCUUUCAGAGGAAUCUGUCCUGUAAUUGAUAAUACACGAUUUAUUUUACUUAAUUUUGUUAUCAGUUUAUAUACCGCCGUCAGUAAGAUUAUCUUGUGGAGGGUAAAAAAUUUCAUUAUAUUUUAUUGAAUAUUAUGUCAGGUCAAGGUGUAGCUAAUGAUUAAGUAGAGAUGGAUUACAUUGAUGAUAUAUUUGGAUAGCAAUUUGAGAUUUUUGUUUGAAAGUGGAUUUGAUUGUAAAUGAAUAUAAAUUGAUUUAUUGAUUAGGGCUCUAGAAUGUGUACAUAUCGCCCGUCGCUCUCGUUUUAAGAUGAG
This 397-nucleotide ribosomal RNA is filed under the name Eumodicogryllus bordigalensis. RNAcentral describes it as "partial 12S ribosomal RNA". The record is from RNAcentral. Lineage: Eukaryota; Metazoa; Arthropoda; Insecta; Orthoptera; Gryllidae.